RNAcentral lists this ribosomal RNA (478 nucleotides) under uncultured bacterium. RNAcentral's name for it is "partial 16S ribosomal RNA". It matches the Rfam family "Bacterial small subunit ribosomal RNA", at positions 28 to 507 of the family's 1533-position model. The record is from RNAcentral.
GAUGAACGCUCGCGGCAGGCUUAACACAUGCAAGUCGAGGGGUAUUUAUCUUCGGAUAGAGAGACCGGCGCACGGGUGCGUAACGCGUAUGCAAUCUACCUUUUACAGAGGGAUAGCCCAGAGAAAUUUGGAUUAAUACCUCAUAGUAUAUAGACUCGGCAUCGAGAUUAUAUUAAAGUCACAACGGUAAAAGAUGAGCAUGCGUCCCAUUAGCUAGUUGGUAAGGUAACGGCUUACCAAGGCUACGAUGGGUAGGGGUCCUGAGAGGGAGAUCCCCCACACUGGUACUGAGACACGGACCAGACUCCUACGGGAGGCAGCAGUGAGGAAUAUUGGACAAGGGGCGCAAGCCUGAUCCAGCCAUGCCGCGUGCAGGAUGACGGUCCUAUGGAUGGUAAACUGCUUUUAUACGAGAAGAAACACUGCUACGUGUAGCAGCUUGACGGUAUCGUAAGAAUAAGGAUCGGCUAACUCCGUG